Molecule: ribosomal RNA, 669 nt
Filed under: uncultured Basidiomycota
Lineage: Eukaryota; Fungi; Basidiomycota
Description: LSU rRNA
Rfam family: Eukaryotic large subunit ribosomal RNA
Source: RNAcentral
CCUCAAAUCAGGUAGGACUACCCGCUGAACUUAAGCAUAUCAAUAAGCGGAGGAAAAGAAACUAACAAGGAUUCCCGUAGUAACGGCGAGUGAAGUGGGAAAAGCUCAAAUUUAAAAUCUGACCGUCAUGCUGGCUGGUCCGAGUUGUAACCUAGAGAAGCGUCUUUCCGUCGCCUGAACCGUGUACAAGUCUCUUGGAACAGAGCAUCAUAGAGGGUGAGAAUCCCGUCUUUGACACGGAGUGCUUGUGACAAUGUGAUACGCUUUCGAAGAGUCGAGUUGUUUGGGAAUGCAGCUCAAAACGGGUGGUAAAUUCCAUCUAAAGCUAAAUAUUGGCGAGAGACCGAUAGCGAACAAGUACCGUGAGGGAAAGAUGAAAAGAACUUUGGAAAGAGAGUUAAACAGUACGUGAAAUCGUUGAAGGGGAAACGCUUGGAGUCAGUCACGUCGGACAGGAAUUCAACCUAGCUUGCUUACGCUCGCUUGGCGUACUUCCUGGAUUUCCAACGGGUCAGCAUCGAUUUCGAUCGUUGGACAAGGUCCAUCGGAAUGUGACAUCUCCUUUGUGAGAUGUGUUAUAGCCUUUGGUCGCAUACGACGGUUGGGAUCGAGGAACUCGGCACGCCGUCCCUUCUGGGGGUGGUUGUCUGCUUAGGAUGCUGGCAUAAU